RNAcentral lists this long non-coding RNA (1461 nucleotides) under Homo sapiens (human). RNAcentral's name for it is "HSALNT0377114". Lineage: Eukaryota; Metazoa; Chordata; Mammalia; Primates; Hominidae. The record is from RNAcentral.
CACGGACCCACAGCCCUAUGACUUCAUCGUGGACUGAGGACGAACCGCAGUCGACUUGCGCCAGCCCAGAGGCUGGGGAGGCGUCCGAGCCUCCGUCCCGCCUCGUCGUUGAAGAAGAAUCCUGAUCUGGGCUACCCUAUCUGUGCUUCUGGUGAGGUGGGCCCAGAACCAUCGUGUGAAUAAUGAUUGACCUCAGCUAGUGGUUCUCAUGGAGUGAUUGAUUUUGCUUCCCAGAGGACAUCAGCAAUGUCUGGAGACAUUUCCAGUUGUCACUACUUGAGAGGAAGCGUGAUCGGCCUCUAGAAGGGAGAGACCAGGGAUGCCGCUGCUCAAUAUCCUAUAAUGCACAGAACAGCUUCUACGACAAAGAGUUAUUCCACCAAAAAUGUCAGUAGUGCCAAGGUUGAGAGAACCUGCUCUAGGGUAAUCAGUGUGGUCCCAAUCUCCCUGUCAGUAACUGAUUCAACUCACAUAAUAAUCUUAUGGGAGUGUGAUGUAAUUCUAGCCAAUAAAAUGCAAUGGGAAGUUGGCCGAGAUACUUCUGAAAAAAUCUUCUCUUACCCCUAAAAAGAGACAUUCAUUUUCUGUUGAAAUGCAUUACUUUCCUAAAUAAAAUCAUAUUUACCAACAACGAGAAAAAGAGAAACAUGCAAGAAACCAUCUGUUUGCUGCUAGAUGCCAUUGUGUCUGCAAUGUGAUAUCUGGAACUAUGGCUGUCAUCCUGGAACCAUGAGAGGAGUUAGCUGAAGAAACAGGAGGAUGGCAAAGCGGAAGGAUGGAAGUUACCUGAGGCUGAGGACAUCAGUGCACCUCUGAUUUAACCAAUCCUUGAGACUUCUUGUUAUAUGAGAUAAUAAAUUCUAUUGCUAUUUAAGUCAUGUAUAGGGCUUUAAAACAUUUCAUAGCUGAAAACAUCCUGAUAUAUAUUUUAUAUUUUUAUUUGAUAUGUGGAAGAGAAAAUAAAAUAUGGGAGGAAAGACACUAACCUCCUUUGGGGGCAGGCUCUACAAUUGUCCAGUAAUAAAAUAAUUUUCUUUGCUGUGCUUCCAGAAUGAUCUUAAACUAAUGAUACCAGAAGUUGAUAAAAUCAGUGGGGGAAACAGUCUGUCUAUUAAUGCAUAAGAUUGUGUUAUUUAAGUAAAUGAGUAGGCACUCAUGUGACAUUUUGAAAUCUUCAAGAAAAUGAUAUUUUCCAGUCACUGCAAUUUAAUUUGGGGGAGCCUGCAGCAUUAGCAUGAGACCAGCCAGCCUGUCCUUAUUCUUCUCAAGCCCUAGCACACCUAAUUCACAGGCACCUGCUACAGCAAAGGAGGAGCUGCCUGGCUAAAACAACCUAGUUACAUCAGCCUGCUAAAAAUGGUCCUAGGGAUAGAUUUUGCUCAGCAUUGAGUUCUUUGAAUAACAACAACAAAAAAAACCCAGCAACUUAUUCUGCAGUUUUAGGGUUUGCUGACAUUUUUU